CUGCUAUUCGUUGUCCAGAUGAGCUUUUUAAAUGAAGCUGCUAUAGAUCCUUCUCCACAACACUAGAGGGAAAUGGAUCAAGAAAUUUAGGAUGAUUAUUUCAAGGGACAAAAUCAUAAUGAGUUUAGUAUGUAACCCAAAUCCUGGAUUGCUAUAUAACAGUUAUUGGUUGUGA
Molecule: long non-coding RNA, 175 nt
Filed under: Canis lupus familiaris (dog)
Lineage: Eukaryota; Metazoa; Chordata; Mammalia; Carnivora; Canidae
Description: lncRNA (ENSCAFG00805020898.1, ENSCAFG00845016979.1)
Source: RNAcentral